RNAcentral lists this long non-coding RNA (1342 nucleotides) under Vulpes vulpes (red fox). RNAcentral describes it as "lncRNA (ENSVVUG00000002627.1)". The record is from RNAcentral. Lineage: Eukaryota; Metazoa; Chordata; Mammalia; Carnivora; Canidae.
AUGUCACACAGAUUCUCAUAUAAAGUAAUUCCAUUACCAUAUAAUGAGGAAGAACUGUAUUAUAUACUAAAAUUUCUUUCUAUUGUCCUUCUUUUAUUAUAUUUAUUUAUUUUUUUUUUAAUUUUUUAUUUAUUUAUUUAUGAUAGUGACAGAGAGAGAGACGCAGAGACACAGGCAGAGGGAGAAGCAGGCUCCAUGCACUCGGAGCCUGACGUGGGACUCGAUCCCGGGUCUCCAGGAUCGCGCCCUGGGCCAAAGGCAGGCGCCAAACCGCUGCGCCACCCAGGGAUCCCUCGAUUCAAUUAUUUUCGAUUUGAUUUGAUUUUUCUCAUUUCGAUUUGAUUAUUGUCAAUUCGGUUUGAUUAUUUCGAUUCGAUUUGAUAUUAUUCGAUUCAAUUCAAUUUGUUUCUUUUCGAUUCGAUUAUUUUCAUUUCGAUUCGAUUAUUUUCAUUUCGAUUUGACUUUUCUCCUUUCGAUUCGAUUAUUUUCGUUUCUAUUUGUUUAUUUUUGAUUCGAUUCGAUUAAUUUCGAUUCAAUUUGGUUAUUUUCCAUUCGAUUUGAUUUUUUUCGCUUCUACAUGAUUUUUUUCGUUUCGAUUCGUUUAUUUUCGUUUCAAUUCUAUUUUUUCAAUUCGAUUCGAUUCGAUUUUUUCGAUUUGAUGCUAUUUGAUCGAUUUUUUUCUUUUCGAUUCGAUUAUUUUCGUUUUGAUUCGAUUCUUUUCAUUUGGAUUCGAUUAUUUUCGUUUCAAUUCAAGUAUUUUCGAUUCGAUUAGAUUAUUUUCAUUUCUUUAGAUUAUUUUCGAUUCGAUUUGAUUAUUUUCGUUUCUAUUUGAUUAUUUUCGUUUCGAUUUAUUUUUGAUACGAUUUGAUUAUUUUCGAUUCGUUUCGAUUUUUUUCACUUCUACUUGAUUUCUUUUCGUUUCGAUUCAUUUAUUUUCGUUUCGAUUGAUUAUUUUCGUUUCGAUUUGUUUAUUUUCUAUUAUAUUUGAUUUUAUUCUAUUCAAUUCAAUUCGUUUCUUUUCAAUUCGAAUUUUUUCAAUUCGAAUAGAUUAUUUUCAUUUCGAUUUGUGUAUUUUUGAUUCGAUUCGAUUAUUUUUGAUUCGAUUUGAUUUCUCUCGUUUCAAUUUGAUUAAUUUUGAUUCGAUUUGAUUUUUUUCGAUUCGAUUCAAUUCGUUUCUUUUCGAUUUGAUUAUUUUCGUUUCGAUUCGAUUAUUUUCAUUUCGAUUUGACUUUUGUCGUUUCGAUUUGAUUAUUUUUGUUUCUAUUUGAUUAUUUUCGUUUCGAUUUUUUUCCAAUUCGAUUUGAUUAUUUUCGAUUCGAUUUGAUAUUAUUCGAUUCAAUUC